RNAcentral lists this ribosomal RNA (251 nucleotides) under uncultured bacterium. RNAcentral's name for it is "partial 16S ribosomal RNA". It matches the Rfam family "Bacterial small subunit ribosomal RNA", at positions 524 to 775 of the family's 1533-position model. The record is from RNAcentral.
UACGUAGGGAGCGAGCGUUAUCCGGAUUUAUUGGGUGUAAAGGGUGCGUAGGCGGUAAUACAGGUCUGCGGUAUAAGUCCGAAGCUUAACUUCGGUUCGCCGCAGAAACCGUAUAACUAGAGUAUGGUAGAGGCAAGUGGAAUUUCUAGUGUAGCGGUAAAAUGCGUAGAUAUUAGAAGGAACACCAGUGGCGAAGGCGACUUGCUGGGCCAAAACUGACGCUGAGGCACGAAAGCGUGGGGAGCGAAUAG